GGGAGUUGGUUUUACCUGAAGACGGUGCGCUAACCCGCAAGGGAGGCAGCCGGCCACGGUAGGGUCAGCGACUGGGGUGAAGUCGUAACAAGGUAGCCGUAGGGGAACCUGCGGCUGGAUCACCUCCUUUCUAAGGAUGAUCCUUCAGCGAGCUCACGCUCACUAUCGGAUCGUUUUAGAAACAUCAGUGGCCAACAGAUCGCCAGAUCGUUGAGCUGCAUUGGCGGGAUUUCGCCGUCUUCGUUUCUCUUUCUUCGCGGACGAACACGCGCUGGGCCUGCAUCAAGCAGGAUCCCACGGUCCCUGACGGGAUAUGCGUUAGGGGCUUGUAGCUCAGUUGGUUAGAGCGCGCGCUUGAUAAGCGUGAGGUCGGAAGUUCAAGUCUUCCCAGGCCCACCACUUUCAUCGAGUGAGCAUUCGUCUUCUGGUUACGGGGCCAUAGCUCAGCUGGGAGAGCGCGUGCUUUGCAAGCAUGAGGUCGUCGGUUCGAUCCCGUCUGGCUCCACCACGCUUCGCCUUUCAGGCUUCGCGUGGCGCAGCCAAGCACGGUCGAAGCGUGCCCGGCGUAGCUCACUUGAGCGUAGACGGGCUGGUUGAGAUCAGCCCGUAACCAUCACCGUCCGCGAAACAUCACUUCGCAUCCUGCUAGUCUGGAUAGACAGCAAGAUGCGUGUUUUUCUGACAUCGUAAAAGAGGAGAUCGAUCCGAGUUGGGUCGUGCAGCAGAUUGUUGCGCGAAUCCUUCAUUAUCUCCGGGAUCAUUUUCGGCGCUCGCUUUUUCUAAGGAUGAUCCUUCAGAGAGCUUCGGCUCACUAUCGGAUCGUUUUAGAAACAUCAGUGGCCAACAGAUCGCCAGAUCGUUGAGCUGCAUUGGCGGGAUUUCGCCGUCUUCGUUUCUCUUUCUUCGCGGACGAACACGCGCUGGGCCUGCUUGAAGCAGGAUCCCACGGUCCCUGACGGGAUAGGCGUUAGGGGCUUGUAGCUCAGUUGGUUAGAGCGCGCGCUUGAUAAGCGUGAGGUCGGAAGUUCAAGUCUUCCCAGGCCCACCACUUUCAUCGAGUGAGCAUUCGUCUUCUGGUUACGGGGCCAUAGCUCAGCUGGGAGAGCGCGUGCUUUGCAAGCAUGAGGUCGUCGGUUCGAUCCCGUCUGGCUCCACCAGAUGGUUUGAUCAUCGACACUGUGCACCGUCGUCCGCGAAACAUCACUUCGCAUCCUGCUAGUCUGGAUAGACAGCAAGAUGCGUGUUUUCUGACAUCGUAAAGAGGAGAUCGAUCCGAGUUGGGUCGUGUAGCAGAUUGCUGCGCGAGCCUUCAUUAUCUCCGGAUCAUUUUCGGCGCUCGACGCUGACCGCAAGGUUGGCUCUCGAGUUGUAAAAUGAUCCUUUUAGCGAAGCUUGACCGCCUCGCUAUCGGAACGAUCUUACGAAGCAAGCUGGUCUUUCUAGUCAAUGUCCGGCUGUACGUAGCAUUCAUCGAGGGUGCGCGCCGAAGAGGUUUCGAUCUCUUGGCAAUCGUAGAGACAACAUUCUGCCGAGUGUGUGGACAUUGAUAAUGAGAGCAAUCAAGUGCCUUAAGGGUGUUCGGUGGAUGCCUUGGCGCUGAGAGGCGAUGAAGGACGUGCUACGCUGCGAUAAGCCGUGGGGAGCUGCGAAGAAGCUUUGAUCCGCGGAUU
RNAcentral lists this unclassified non-coding RNA (1670 nucleotides) under Bradyrhizobium sp. RNAcentral's name for it is "partial may contain 16S ribosomal RNA, 16S-23S ribosomal RNA intergenic spacer, and 23S ribosomal RNA". The stretch from base 1 to 130 matches the Rfam family "Bacterial small subunit ribosomal RNA", at positions 1406 to 1533 of the family's 1533-position model. Lineage: Bacteria; Pseudomonadati; Pseudomonadota; Alphaproteobacteria; Hyphomicrobiales; Nitrobacteraceae. The record is from RNAcentral.